UUGACAUGCAAGUGGUAGGAACCGAAAGGCGACCGACCCUUCGGGGAGCUUGCACAGGUGCUGCAUGGCUGUCGUCAGCUCGUGUCGUGAGAUGUUCGGUUAAGUCCGCUAACGAGCGCAACCCUCGCUGUGUGUUACAAGUGUCACACGGUACUGCCGGUCUUAAGCCGGAGGAAGGUGGGGAUGACGUCAAGUCAGCAUGGCCUUUAUGUCCUGGGCUACACACACGCUACAAUGGCCAACACAAUAGGUUGCUAAGCCGCGAGGUGGAGCCAAUCCUCAAAGUUGGUCUCAGUUCAGAUUGCAGGCUGCAACCCGCCUGCAUGAAGAUGGAGUUGCUAGUAACCGCAGGUCAGCUAUACUGCGGUGAAUACGUUCCCGGGGCUU
Molecule: ribosomal RNA, 387 nt
Filed under: uncultured Leptolinea sp.
Lineage: Bacteria; Bacillati; Chloroflexota; Anaerolineae; Anaerolineales; Anaerolineaceae
Description: bacterial SSU rRNA
Rfam family: Bacterial small subunit ribosomal RNA
Source: RNAcentral